RNAcentral lists this ribosomal RNA (466 nucleotides) under Parasitorhabditis obtusa. RNAcentral describes it as "SSU rRNA". It matches the Rfam family "Eukaryotic small subunit ribosomal RNA", at positions 96 to 590 of the family's 1831-position model. The record is from RNAcentral. Lineage: Eukaryota; Metazoa; Nematoda; Chromadorea; Rhabditida; Rhabditidae.
GCUCAUUACAACAGCUAAAAUUAGCAUGGAAAAUUUUGUUGGAUACUUUCAGUAAUUCUGGAGCUAAUACAUAUGUGCGUUUCGGCGUCAUUUAUUAGAUUCACCAGCCUGCUUGCAGACUAGUGAAGACUCUGAAUAUCUUGCGGACCGUAUGCGUAAGCGACGGCAAUUCAUGCAAUUAACUGCCCUAUCAACUAUUGAUGGUAGUUUAGUUGACUACCAUGGUGAUAACGGGUAACGGAGGAUAAGGGUUUGACUCCGGAGAGGAUGCCUUAGAGACGGCAACCACAUCUAAGGAAGGCAGCAGGCGCGCAAAUUACCCACUCUCAAUUCGAGGAGGUAGUGACGAAAAAUAACGAGACCGUUCUCUUUCGAGGCCGGUCAUCGGAAUGGGUACAAUUUAAACCCUUUAACGAGUAUCUAUGAGAGGGCAAGUCUGGUGCCAGCAGCCGGGGUAAUUCCAGCU